GGUCAACUGGGCAAAUGUUACAUCUGGGAAAUGCCUGCACAGAGGUGUGUUAGCUGAGAUUCAAAGCUCCUGAAAGCAUCAAAACAUGUUUUUUGUGACAGUCUGUUCCUGCCGUGGAAUACAGGAGGAAGGAAGGAAGGGAGAGCGGGAGCUCAAGGCAAGAUGCUCAGUUGCGGAAAUGCGGCUGCUGGAUUGAGGAGAAAUGGAGGAAAUUGAGAAUUUUACAGUAUACGAUCAUAUGAAGAAUCUGCUGAGGUGCUGCUCGGUCAAUCAACAAAGUCCAGUCUGUAUUAAUCAAGACAACGCACCCGCCCACACUCAUCCCGUGAAAUUAUUUCCCAAGUAUCAAUCUCAGAAAACAUAAGUUUGACAGAGAUCUUUGACAUGUGACAAAACGCAUUCUGCUUCACACAGAAUUAUUUAAUUAAAACCUAAACACUGAUUGUGAAUAGUGCGACUCAAUAAUGCCCUUUUAAUGCUGUUUUUAUAAUCCUUAAUGAGCAUUAUAAAGUUGUGAGAUUUAUAGAAAUGUUAUGUUGUAAGUUAAUUUGGGGAUAAUGUCAUUAAACCAACCAAUAUUUGGCGUACACAAUAAUAAACUGAAUAAAUUAGUAUAAAUCAAUCAUAUUAGCGUAUGCAACUAAUCAUUUUAUCAGCUUUAUGC
Molecule: long non-coding RNA, 664 nt
Organism: Gasterosteus aculeatus aculeatus (three-spined stickleback)
Lineage: Eukaryota; Metazoa; Chordata; Actinopteri; Perciformes; Gasterosteidae
Source: Ensembl